UCCUCGGUAGCUCAGCGGUAGAGCCCUCGACUGUUAAUCGAGUUGUCGCAGGUUCGAAUCCUGCCCGAGGAGCCA
RNAcentral lists this transfer RNA (75 nucleotides) under Ancylobacter novellus. RNAcentral's name for it is "Starkeya novella tRNA-Asn". It matches the Rfam family "tRNA". From Rfam's summary of the family: Transfer RNA (tRNA) molecules are approximately 80 nucleotides in length. Their secondary structure includes four short double-helical elements and three loops (D, anti-codon, and T loops). RNAcentral also lists the same sequence under 8 other names. Lineage: Bacteria; Pseudomonadati; Pseudomonadota; Alphaproteobacteria; Hyphomicrobiales; Xanthobacteraceae. The record is from RNAcentral.